Molecule: transfer RNA, 73 nt
Filed under: Pteropus alecto (black flying fox)
Lineage: Eukaryota; Metazoa; Chordata; Mammalia; Chiroptera; Pteropodidae
Rfam family: tRNA
About the family: Transfer RNA (tRNA) molecules are approximately 80 nucleotides in length. Their secondary structure includes four short double-helical elements and three loops (D, anti-codon, and T loops).
Source: Rfam by way of RNAcentral
GGUUCCAUAGUGUAGCGGUUAGCAUGUCUGCUUUACACGCAGAAGGUCCUGGGUUUGCACCCCAGUGGAGCCA